RNAcentral lists this ribosomal RNA (492 nucleotides) under uncultured bacterium. Its description in RNAcentral is "partial 16S ribosomal RNA". It matches the Rfam family "Bacterial small subunit ribosomal RNA", at positions 29 to 507 of the family's 1533-position model. The record is from RNAcentral.
AUUGAACGCUGGCGGCAUGCUUUACACAUGCAAGUCGAACGGUAACAGGCCUUCGGGUGCUGACGAGUGGCGAACGGGUGAGUAAUGCAUCGGAACGUACCCAGAGGUGGGGGAUAACGCAGCGAAAGCUGUGCUAAUACCGCAUGUGAUCUGAGGAUGAAAGCGGGGGACCGAGCAGCAAUGUUUGGCCUCGCGCCUUUGGAGCGGCCGAUGUCGGAUUAGCUAGUUGGUGGGGUAAAGGCCUACCAAGGCGACGAUCCGUAGCUGGUCUGAGAGGACGAGCGGCCACACUGGGACUGAGACACGGCCCAGACUCCUACGGAAGGCAGCGGUGGGGAGUUGUGGAGGAUGGUGGCAAGCCUGAUCCAGCAAGGCCGCGUGAGGGAAGAAGGCCUUCGGGUUGUAAACCGCUUUUGGCAGGAACGAAACGGUGUCCGCUAAUACCGGGCGCUAAUGACGGUACCUGCAGAAUAAGCACCGGCUAACUACGUG